RNAcentral lists this ribosomal RNA (261 nucleotides) under uncultured archaeon. RNAcentral's name for it is "partial 16S ribosomal RNA". It matches the Rfam family "Archaeal small subunit ribosomal RNA", at positions 748 to 1008 of the family's 1478-position model. The record is from RNAcentral.
AGGGUGUAAACGCUGCAGACUUGGUGUUGGAGGCCCUUUGGGGGCAUUCAGUGCCGGAGAGAAGUUGUUAAGUCUGCUACUUGGGGAGUACGUCCGCAAGGAUGAAACUUAAAGGAAUUGGCGGGGGAGCACCGCAACGGGAGGAGCGUGCGGUUUAAUUGGAUUCAACACCGUAAAACUCACCAGGGAAGACUGUUACAUGAAAGCCGAGAUGAAGACUCUGCUAGAUUUUCAGAGAGGUGGUGCAUGGCGUCAGUGACU